Molecule: long non-coding RNA, 3859 nt
Organism: Theobroma umbraticum
Lineage: Eukaryota; Viridiplantae; Streptophyta; Magnoliopsida; Malvales; Malvaceae
Source: RefSeq, a predicted model, not a curated record
CCGAAGACAAAUAUUCCGUCAGGCACUUCAUUUUGACCAUUGUCAAAGCGCACUCCUCCUUGUCCGUCAGGUUCCCGCGAAAAGAAUUGACAAUCGAAACCCAUCCCUUCUUUUCCUCUAAUUUUUCCGCCCAUCCAAACAGAAGCGCCGUCGCCUCAGACGCUAACCAAGGCGGAGCUUCAUGACUCUCGACCUACUACAUGAUCAUAGUUACUCCUCAUAUUUUAUCAGCGGCAGGAUCCCUUUGUUUGGCAGGCUUAAGGUGAUGGUCACCAGAUUACAGGCUGAAUGAAAAAUUCUUCUAUUGGUAGAAGAUGUGAGAUGAGAUGUUGCUGUUACCUAGGUUAGCUGCUAAAGCCCUUCGGUAAUUUUUCUAAGGACCUAGAAAUGAAUCCCACAUUCGCCAUGGUCGGGGGAGCUACCCCACUGUGUCUAGCUCAGUCAUUGCUAAAAAAAAAUGAGUCUUGUGUUGACAAAAAUGCAUAUAUGAGUCUCACACAGUGAAAAGAAAGGGAAAAAAAUGGUUAACUUUUUUAUUUAGUAAUUGUGCUUCCUUCAAGUAGGUUGUUGAUUAAGUAUAAACCUGCUAUUGAAAUAUAUGUUUACUACAAGCUUGUGUGGUGCCCUUCUUUGGCAGCGUAAUGCUAGAAAGAAAAUUUUCCCUAGUACUUUGAGAUCUCAGGUAUGAAAGUAGCUUGCUCACAUAAAAGAACCAUACAAUCAGCUUUAUUGUUAAUUUUGUUUUUUUUUUGUUUGCAAUUUAUUACCGGAAACUCUGGUCAGAGAAAAUUAACACUUGAAAGCUUACUUCAGGCCAGAUUCCCUGACCAAAUAUUUCAAAAAUUGUAGUACAGGAUACUAUAAAGAAACAAUGGCUGGGGCAUUCCGAGAAUCGAACUCGGGACCUCUCGCACCCAAAGCGAGAAUCAUACCACUAGACCAAAUGCCCAGUUGAUAGCUAUGGGGUAUUUUUAAUAUAAUUAUGAGGUAUUUUCUCCAAGGAUUCCUGCUAAUGUUAAGUAACUGGAAUCAUCCCAAGAGCAUCAAUGUUUUAUUUGCUAGAGUGGGGUGCUAGAGGCUUGUAAAUUGGAUUUAGACUUGAGCUUUGGUUGAAGCUUUUUGCCAUUAUUAAAUAUUGAUGAUGGUUUAUACUACGUAAUUCGGGUUAUGGAUCACUAAGAAAACCAGACAGUUAUGGGUGAUGAAUAUUAGACAAUUAUGCAUUCUUUCCUUAGUUUAAUGAUUAAGUCUAGAUUGUUUUGUGGCCUGUUUCUGCUAUAGAAAUACAUGGUUAAGUGCUUCAAAAUGAUUAAAAGAUUGGCAUGCAGGACAAUUAACUAUGCAGGAAUCUUAUGCAAAAUGCCAUGUCCUAGUAACCGUUUCUCUAUGGGGCCUGCAAGAUGAGCAUUAAAAUCUUCCAAUCAUACAAGUGGAGCUAACGGCUUCAGAGGGUAAAGUUCAUUCGGCAAUUGUUCUCACCUUGGUUCUUAUCCUGGCUUCACUAUGAGUUGGAGGAGUAUGGUUGCAAGGGCAGAGGCUUAAGGAGAGGAAAGUUCUAUUCCACAGUCUGUAGCUUGCCCAUUGAGUCAGAAUGAUAAACAAAAACUUCUCAUCUGGAGGCAGAAAAUUUAUUUUCUAUUUGCCAAUUUUGCUUAUCUUUUAUUUGUGUUUUUUUUUUAAUUAAGUUUUUUAACCUGUUCUUCAGAACUAUGUUCAUUCCAUUGUUUUGUGUGGCCCUUUAUUUUUCAGGGUUAAGGCAAAUUUCCUUUUUCUAAUGACUGCAGUUGCAGGUAUGUCAUUAGCUUGCCCACAUGCAAAAAUAGCAUAUGCACCUUAUUUAUUUAUUAUUUAAUUUUGGAACUUAUUUUAAGGAAUUUGUCAGAAAAUGGACCAAUCUGAAGUUGAUAAAUUUCUUUUUUAUACUCUUCUGGUUGACUUUUAAUCAGAUUCAUCAGAUAAAAAUUUUCAAGGUAUAGGGAACAGAAAAAGAUGCAAGGGAGAGGGGCAUUCCAAGGAUUGAACUUGGGACCUCUUGCACCUAAAGCGAGAAUCAUACCACUAAACUAAAUGUCCACUUUCUGAUAUCAAAUUUCUAAUCAGUUAGCUCUUUUUCUCCUUGGAUUUAUGUUAAAUUCAAUGGCACAUCUCAAGAGGACUGAGGUUUUGCACUCUCUCUUUAUGCUUGUAUUAUUUUCUUGCUAUGGUGGGUGCCAGAGGCUUUCAAAAUUUGAUUUCUACUACAAUAUUGAUACUGGUUGAUACUUCUUAAUUCAGAAUAUUGAUCAACUAGAAGCCUAAACAUCCAUGGGGUUAUGAUUGUCCUAGAGUUUUUUUUUUUCUUUUUUUCUUUUUGAUGAAAUAUGUGACCCUGAAAACAUACUUUGCAAGUUAUAAUGCUGUAAGAAUAUUUAUAUUAAACCGCAAAAAUGGUUGAAAAGGAGCCUAGACAACAGUUAGGCAGUUUAUGGCCCAAAGAAAAAAAAAAUUAGGCAGCUCUGCAUAAACCGGAUCACAAGAUAAAAUGUCAUAAUAACAUGUUUUUUGUGGGGCCUUUCAGGUUGAAUGCAAAAAUAUUUUAUUGAUAUGAGAGGUGCUGAUUAGUUUGGCCAGUAAGGUUUUUGGUGGUUGAAUUCUUCCUUCAACGUGGAAAGGGAGUGGGGAGAUGGGAGGAGAAAUAUAGGGAAGGGGAAAGCUAAUCCCAUGUGUUUUAGCCUGGCCAUUAGAUCAAGAUCAAAGAAAAGCAGCAGUCUUGAAUUGAUAGAAAAGAUGAAAACUCACUGAGACAAGGAAAAUGUAUUUGGCUUUUCUAGUCACUGAUUUUGCUUGCCUAUAAAUAAGAAUUGUCAGUUAAGUAUUUUCAUCUGCUCUUCAAAUGUGUAGAUUCUAUGUGUACUUGGUGCCCUUUGCCUGGCAGGUUUAAGGCGGAUUUCUUGUUUUUCUUAUGACUAUGAGAUUAAAGGUACGAGGAUAGCUUGUUCUCCUUGAAAGUAGCACAACUUUUAAUAUUUUUUUUAUUUUAAAAUUUUCAAUUCACUACUGAGGAAUCUUAAGAAAACAAAUGAAUCUGAAGUUAAAUAAGCUUCUAAUUAUGCUUUUGAAGUUAAGCUCAGGGCCAGUAUAGGAACUAAAAAGGAACAAGGAAUACGGCAUUCUGAGAUUCAAACUCAGGACCUUUCACACCCUAAGCGAGAAUCACACCACUAGACCAAAUGCCCAAUUUUUAAUGUUUAUCAUGUUUAAUUUUUAUUUAUUCUUGAUCUGAUAAACAGAUUUUUGUUAAUUUUUGUAGGACUUGUCGCAAGAGGAGCAAUGCUUUCUGGUCUUUCACAUUGAAUGCAGUUCAAUGUAUCAUACUGCUGCUGAAGUGGGAUGCCAGGGGGUCUUAAAAAUGCAUUCCAACUUUGGGUUUGAUUGAAGCUAUUUUUUUCUAAGGACAGUAGUGUUGGUUAAUUGCUUGUCCUUUUCUGUCCAUAUAUUUUUGCUUGCCUGUAAAUAGUUAUUGGUUAAAUAUUAUUGCCUGCUCUUGAAGUUUAUAUGCAUUCUGUAUAUUUGUUCCAUUUUGUUUCGCAGGUUUGAGGCAGAUUUCAAUUUUCUGAUGGCUACAAGAUUAAAGGUAUGAUGAUGAUAGCUUGCUGACCUUGAGAAUAGUACCUUUUUUAAUUUUUUUAUUUUUGCAUGUCACUGCUGAGGUAUCUUGUGAGAAAACAACUGAAUAUAAACUUAACAAACUUCUAAUUAUACAUUUAAAGUUGACUUAGUCCAGAUUAAGUAUUUGAAAUUGCAGUAUAGGGAAUUAAAAAGAAACAAGGGAUGGGGCAUUCCGAGAAUCGAACUCGGGACCUCUCGCACCCAAAGCGAG